UGGACAUGUGCAAAGAAGGCCUACUGACGCUCCGGUUCGAAGAUGUGACUACGGGAUAGAGGUUCAGGGCUGAAGGGGUAGAGGAAGACCUAGGAAAACUUUGGAAGAGACCUUAAGAAAAGACUUAGAGUACUUGGAUCUAAUGGAGGACAUGACACAAAACCGAGCGCAAUGGCGUUCUAGGAUUCAUAUAGCCGACCCCACUUAGUGGGAAAAGGCUUUGUUGUUGUUGUUGUAUCGUUGGUGAGUGGAUUUCUAUAUGUUUGGAUGUAUAUCGUCCAAAGUGUGUUGGGGAAUCAAAUAUCCUUUUGCUCUUCUUUGCACUGUUUCGUUUAGAUACUACAUUUGCUAAAUCUAUGGCUGAUUUAUUUCUUUGCAGACUAAUAGUGAUUUUGAUUCUAAACCCAUGGUCAUGCUUGUGGGUCAGUAUUCAACUGGGAAAACAACAUUUAUUAAACAUUUGUUACGAUGCAACUAUCCAGGUUGGUUAAGUUAUCUCUAUUUUAUUUUUGAAAUUAUUAGUUGACAACCUCAGCGUUGAAGGGUUUAACAUUCGUUUGUUGGAACAGGAGCUCACAUUGGACCAGAACCUACUACAGAUAGAUUCGUUGUACUGAUGGUAUAAUUGCUAAUCACCUGGUUUCCUUCUAAAAAGUUUAUCGAGUUUAUUUCUUUACUUUCUGAGGUUUAUAUUGUAUGUUAAAUGUUUUUUGGUAAUUCUAAUUGUUGAUUGCAAUUCUGUUCUCAGUCUGGACCUGAUGAGAGGAGUAUUCCUGGAAAUACUAUAGUUGUUCAUGCAGACCUGCCUUCCAGUGAUCUAACAACUUUCGGAGGUGCAUUUUUAUCAAAAUUUGAGUGUUCACAAAUGCCACAUCCAGUGAGUUUUGAACUCUUUAUAAUCUUCUAUUUAUAUAGCAUUUCUGCUGAUUUUGUCACCAUAAUCUUCCUCUUGGAUUGUGUUAAUCUUCCUUUUCCUAUGGUUAUAGUUGCUAAAUGAAAUUACAUUUGUAGACACCCCUGGAGUUCUAUCUGAAGAAAAGCAACGAACAAGGGAGCUACGAUUUCACUGUUGCUAUAUCAUGGUUUGCAGCAAAAUGUGAUGUCAUUCUUCUUCUGUUUAAUCCUCAUACGCUCGACAUCAGCGAUGAAUUUAAACGUGUAAUUUCAUCUCUGCAUGGUCAUGAUGACAAGAUUCGAGUGGUCUUGAAUAAAGCUGAUCAAGUUGAUACUCAACAAGUGAGAUGUACCUCGCGUUUAUAUUGCCUAUUAUACUUUUUGUUGAAAGAAAUUUUCAAGUUCUUAACUUUUUGUCUACAUACUGAAGCUGAUGAGAGUUUAUGGGGCAUUGAUGUGGUCGCUUGGAAAAGUUGUGAAUAUUCCAGAGGUUGUGCGUGUUUAUAUCGGGCAGGCUUUCUUUUUCCAAAGUGGUUAAUCCUUUGGGAUUGGAUGCAUAAUUGAUUUGAUCGAAUAUUGUUAUUUCUUCAUGGCUUUGCAGCUCAUUCAAUGAUAAGCCUGUCAACGAAGGAAUUGUUGGUCCUAUCGGCAAAGAACUGUUUGAAAAAGAACAAGAUGACCUCCUAUCAGAUCUGGUUGAUAUACCUAAGAAAGCAUGUGAUCGCCGGGUAAGAUUCUGUCUCAUUUCGAUCUUUCUUGAUUUUGUUUUGGUUGAUAGACGAAAGAAGACUUGGUUGCUCUUCCUGUUUGCAUUCCGUUUAAUUCCCUUCACCUAUAUACAGUGGCGGAUCCAGGAAUCUUACCCCAAGGGGUCGCAGUGUAAAAGUUCAAAUAAAAAUUUAGGAUGGAAAAACAUAUUGAAAAUGAAAUCAUAGUACUUUCAUUCAUAAUUCAUAAUGGAAACAAUAUUACAAACUAUAAUUGUCCACGACGAGGUUUCAUAUUUUGAAAACGAAGCAUUAUAGCUUCAUUUUCAAUACAAGCAAAAAUAUCUCUCUCAAUAUAAACAAGCAAGCUAUCACUCAACCAUUGAUCUCCCAUUUUGUUCCUAAGUGGACCCUUAACAAUAUUCAUGACAGAAAAUGCUCUCUCCACUGAAGCAGUUGCAACUGGUAAAACUAAAGACAAUGUAAUGAGCAAAAAUAUACAUAAUUGAAUACUUGAUGCAUCCUUGUCUCCACCAUUUUUUUUGCAAGAUCACCAAUCCCUUCCAAUUGAGAGAAAUCACUACUGGAACACACACAUAAUGAAUAUAAAUCUCAAGUUGAUCUUCAAGUGCCAAACGAUCUUCAUCCGAAAAAGUCUUGAGGAUAAAAUUGAGCAAGACGAAGUAACUUUGGUUUAUCAAAAGCUACAAAUGAAUCCUUCGGACUCAAACAUGCCAUACAAAUAAGCAACUCGGUAUUUACCUCAUUAAAGCGAUCCUCUAACUCCGUAAUUUGCUCAUCAAUGACAUAAAUAAAGAGCUCCACACGAUAAUGAUGACGAUUUGUCUUUAUUGGAGCAUAACGCCUUGACCUCCCUGGAAGUAUAAAUGCCUCUUCCAUGUUAGGAACAUCAAUAUGAUGUUUUUCACAAAAAGAAGAUACUUCAUCAACCAAUGCAUCGAACCCAUUAUUCCUCAUCCACUAUAGCUUUUCCUUGCAUGAUUUCACUAAAGCCAUUGCAUUCACAAUUUCUUGAUCUUUCCUUUGCAAUGCUUGUGACAAAUCAUUUGUGAGUCCCAAUAUGACUUUCAUCAAGAAAAGGUGAAACACAAACUCAAAAGUAAGUAUCACUCUCAUUAACGUAUUUGCUUCACCCGCACUUUCAUUGGGAUUAUCAUCAAUAACCAUUUGAAGCACAUGAACCACGGAUGAAAACAUAGAAAUGAUGCUAAUCAAGGUACCAUAGUGUGAGUUCCAUCGUGUGUCACCGGCACGUUUGAGACUUGUUUCUUGAUUUAAGCCUCGCCCCGUUAUAAGACAAUCAUUUUCAAAAGCUAUCACAAGCUCUUCUUGAAGUUGCCCUCUAAGUGAAUCACGCCGCUUACAAGAUGCUCCAACAUGAUUAACUACAUUAUUAGCCGUUGCAAAAAAAGAGGCAAUGUCUAUAUUAUUCUUUGCUACGGCAACAAGAGCUAGUUGAAGUUGAUGAGCAAAGCAAUGAACAUAAUAUGCACAAGGUUGUUCUCUCAAUAUCUUUGUUUUAAGGCCAUUCAACUCACCUCUCAUAUUGCUAGCACCAUCAUAACCUUGUCCUCGUAGCUUGGAAAUGCUCAAACCGUAGCGAGAAAACAAUGUGUCAAUAGCAUCCUUUAGUGAACUUGAAGUAGUGUCGGUAACAUGUUGGAUACCCACAAAUCUUUCAAUUACAUGCCCGUUGUCAUCCACAUAACGCAACACCAUAGCCAUUUGCUCUUUCACAGACACAUCACGUGCUUCAUCCACCAAUAUUGAAAAGAAUUUAUCUUUUUAGACCAUCCAUGAUAGCAUCAAGUGUUUCAAGGGCACAUGAAUUCACAAUUUCUUUUUGAAUGGAAGGAGCUAGUAAUUUGAGAUUCCCCGGAGCAUUUUCCAUCACAACUUCUCUAACUUUAUCAUUAUUAUCUGCAAGGAAUUGCAAUAACUCCAAGUAAUUUCCCCUAUUGCUUGAAGUGGCACUUUCAUCAUGGCCACGAAAAGGAAGACCUUGUCGCAAUAAAAACUUAGUGCACUUGAUUGAAGCAAUCAAGCAUGUGCGAUAAGCCUUACGAGUUUGGUCAGAGUGUUUGCUCACUGCCGUUUCAAUAUGUGUAGCUUGAUUCAUCAAAUUUGUAGCAGCUUUCUCUAGCCUUAUUAUGAACACUCCCAACCGGUCCAACAUGCAUCUUAAAUCUUUCUCUCCCUUUCUUCCAAUUCUUAAAUCCAUCUCCAGUGAAAGCUUCACUACCCACUUGUUCAAAAUUGGUUUUAAAGAGAUAGCAAUAGAGACAAAAUGCCGCAUCUUUAGAUACACUAUACUCCAACCAAUCAAACUCAUCAAACCAUUGGGGAAUGAAGCGUCGAUUAAUUCCCGACAUAUUAGUUAUUGGGAAAUUAUGACAUCUAGGUUGACAAGGUCCUUUUUGUAGAUAUAAUCUUCGGACCUCAUCUCUCAUAUUAGCGUCAUAAUCUAUUAUUCGAGUUCUUAAUCCAGGAUCCGCUUGAAGAUUACCCAAAACAUCAUCUAACUGACUUUGUCUUGAACUUGGAGUUCUUGAACUACCAACAGUAUUUGAACUAUCAAACAUUAUUCGAACUACCCGAACCCGAUGAUGACUUUCUCUUAAAAAACCGUUCCAUAAUAAUGCUUGCUACAUAUACAAAAUAUUCAAAAUAAAUACUCACAAUAUAAACAAACCAUAAACAUAAUCAAAAUAAAUAUGAAUUGGAUUUUCAAUUAAAUUAAAUAUCUCAUCUUGCAUUCUAAUUUCUACAUAUACAAAAUAAUGAAAAUAAAAACUCACAAUAUAAACAAACCAUCAAUAUAAUCAAAAUAAAUAUGAAUUGAAUUUCAAUUAAAUUAAAUAUAUUCUACAUAUACAAAAUAUUCAAAAUAAAUACUCACACAAUAUAAACAAACCAUAAACAUAAUCAAAAUAAAUAUGAAUUGGAUUUCAAUUAAAUUAAAUAUCUCAUCUUGCAUUCUACAUCUACAAAAUAAUGAAAAUAAAAAAUCACAAUAUAAACAAACCAUCAAUAAAACCAAACCAAUAAAAACUCACAAUAUAAACAAAUCAUCAAUAUAAACAAACCAUCAAUAAAAACUCACAAUAAAAACUCACAAAAUAAAUAUGAAUUGAAUUUCAAUUAAUUAAAUAUAUUCUACAUAUACAAAAUAUUCAAAAUAAAUACUCACAUCACAAUAUAAAAACCAAGGGAGGAGAUGGAGUUGGAGCCGCCAGCAGAGGAGCAGCAAGGGAGGAGAUGGAGUUCACGUUGAGGGUUUGGGGGCAGCAGCAGCAAGGGAGGAGAGGAGUUGAGGAUUUGGGGGUAUUGAGUUAGGGUUGAAGGAUGAAAAAUUGGGGCUUUUAAUUGUAUAGGGGUUGGGUAGGAAAGGCUGGGAUGGGGGGGGGGGACACGGUGGGAAUUAAAAUUUUUUUUUUUUUUUCGGCCUGGCCCAAAACGACGUCGUUUUGGCCAGGUCAUUUAAAAAAAUUUCCUGGGCCAAAACGACGCCGUUUUGCCCGUAUGUUUUGAAAAAAAAGAAGCGCGCAGCUUCUUCUUCCUCUUCCUGCAGUGCCGAGCUUCGUUCAGGAUUUUUGUCGAACACUUGGCGUGCGACUCCGACCCCGACGACCCCGACGACCCCAGCUCCAAGAGGUCGCGUAUGGGAGCUUCAAGGUUGUUUCCAUGGUUUCCAAGGGGUCGUGCGACCCCGACGACCCCACUGUGGAUCCGCCCCUGCCUAUAUAUGUCGUAUAUUGCAGAUCAAUGAAUUUGUAAAACGUGCUAGAGCUGCUAAGAUUCAUGCCUACAUAAUGAGUCAUCUGAAGAAGGAGAUGCCUACUAUGAUGAGAAAAUCUAAGGCUCAGCGAAAACUCAUCGACAACCUCGAAUAGGAAUUUGCAAAGGUUUAUCGAUUCUUAAGCAACACUCUUUGAUCUUUACACCUAUAUCUAGCAGGCAUGAUUACUCUUGUUAAUUUUUCCAAAAACAGGUUCAGAGGGACUUUCAUUUACCAGCCGGCGACUUUCCAGACGUGGAGCACUUCCGGGAGGUGUUGGGCGGCUAUAACAUCGAUAAAUUCGACAAGUUGAAGCCGAAAAUGAUUCAAGCUGUGGAUGACAUGCUUGGCUAUGACAUCCCUGAGCUUUUAAAGAAAUUCAGAAAUCCCUACAAUUGAUAGUGUUACAAUUUUUGGUAUAUGCCAUGAUACAAUCAAGAUUUAUAGAGAUUAAUAUUUGAUUGUUGGAGUUUAUCUUUAGUCGAAUACUUUUGAGACUUGCAUUGUCCAUGGGCAUGUAAGAGAUGAUUUUGAGCUUAAUAAUCAAAGUUUUAGCUUUUCUUAAGCUAAAUAACGAUGUUUGUGCUACCCUUACUAAGAGAGUUAUGCAUUAUUAGCUUGAAAUAUUGUUGGAGAUAUUUUAGGUGCACGUAAAGUUUUUUACAAUUAAGGUUGAUGAAGCGACAGUUCGUAUUUAGAUAACUCUAUUUUGAUCAAAAUGUCGUCUAUUUAUAGAUUCUUCAUAUUGUGAUUUUUGAAAAACAAUAUUUUACUUUAAAUUAAUUUAAAUUGUAAAAAGAAUGAUUCAAACUUGAAUGCAUAAUAAGAGGUGUUAAUGCUAUAACCAACAUAACUAUUGCCGUACUAGUGUCAAUUUUAUUCCCAAGCAAUGACAAAGUAUUUAUGUGAAAUUCCAUCCCCGAAAUUUCAUUAUUCAUUACGUAUCUCGUUAUUACAAACGACUGAGUUCAGGCGUAGUGAAAAAUUGGAACGUGGAACCCGAAAGAUUUUACAAAACAAGUACCAAUCAUUUUAUUCAAAGUAGAAAGAAAAGAUAAUACCACUAAAUAUAAAAUAUUAUUGAUAGAAUAAAAUAUUAAUAAAACAAGAAAGAGGGGAAGGGUGGGGAACCAUCGAGAAAAAGAAAGGGAAAACAGGAGACGGGGAAUGGGCGUGGGAAAAAAAGAAGGGGAGGGGGGAGAGGCCAUUGUCUUCUUCUUCCUCCUUUACUCACUUCACCCCUUGUAAACUAUUUUCAUCAUAACUUCCUCAUACGAUAAUGAAAUCACACAAGGCUGGAAGUUAUAUUUUUGUAGUAAAGUUGUCUUCAAUCUGAUACUAUACCCACCCUUUGAAAACCGGUGUACAAAGAAAAUGAGGUCCAAAUGUAUUGACGUUUCUGGCGACUUUUCUCUGAUUUCGGUUCACCCCUUUAAGUGAAGAUAAUGAUUCUUUCCUCAUGGGCUCUCCUCUAGCGUAAGUUUUUCCCAAGGUGUUAACUUUCAGUUUUGGGAUCUGUUCUUGAUUUCGAAUUUCAAAUUGGUAUUAUGUAUGAAUAUUUGAGAUGAUACUUAGUUGUAUUGUUUAGGAGUUGAAACAGAACUGGGCAAUAAGGAUUGGUUGCAUAUUUAGGGAAGAACCUUGAAAUCCUAACCUCGAUUUGGUUCUCUUUAGAAAUGUAAGAAUUGGGUUUCUUUUAUAAGUAUUAAUGUUAUUCCAUAAUCGAAGCCAAAUACAUUUGAAUAUUUUAGGUGCCAUAUUUGUCCUACCCUUGAAGAACAUUGCUGAAUUUGUAUGUGUUGUAGCCUAGGUUUGUGUUUGUGUAGAUAAUUAGAGUUCUAAAACUAUUGAGCGGUUCUAUAUUUUCCAUGACAUUGUCAGAUGCUGAUGCUAAAUACUUGAUUGGACAAUGCUAUUACUAGAGUAGUAUAUGACUCUUGGUUUUGGCCAUUGAUAUAUUGGUGGUUCUUUAUUCUUUCUUUCAGCAGAUGAAGAGUUAAUACUACUAGGAAUUUAUAUUUUUAUUUUGAGGCACUUGAAUAAACAGUAUGGUUUUCUAUGUUAAUUAUUAAGAAUCAUUGAUAUGGUUUGAUAGAUCCAAUUUGGUGUGAUUACUAUUCAAUUAAGUACUUCACCUUUAUACGUAUCAUGUUGUUUGCCUAAGUGGUAGAAUGAUGUCCCAUUAGACAUAAUUAUCUAUACGCAUGCUUAUACUGAAACCAAAAUCAAGUUGAUUCACGUUCUGAAGUUAUAUGUAUAUGUCUCAUAUGUGUAGACAAGCUGUACAAAGAAAGCAUCCAGUUUUUAGUAGUUAUUCUGAUUACAUGUAUGUAGUAAUGUCUUGUUAUAGUGAUCGGAGUUAUUGAAUUGGUGAACUACGAAUGGCUUGAUCCCUAUUGAGGGUACGUAGGCACUCUAACGGGGAGGUUAAAUGCAGCCAUAAAGUAUAAGAAAAAUUAUCACGCCAUACAAAGCUUGAGUUGUGCAUUGUCCAUAUCCCGGAGGCGGGGUAUGGGAGUUAUGCGGGUAUUUGAUGACGUCACGUGUCGAUCCUAGACGUAUGUCGGGAUCAGGGCGUGACAAUUUAUCACUAAAUGAUAAUUACCCAUAGACCUGUUUUUUAACAAACAUUAGGGGUAAUGGGUUAAAUUGUUAGCUGUUAGGGGGAAGAAGGAUCGGUGGGGAUCAGUGACUAUACAACAGCACUAAAAUAUAUAUAAAUGAUUAUUUUUCGCUACUGUGGUGAAGUGUCAUCUGCAACCAAAUACCAUUCUAGCACACAUAUGCAUUUUCUCUUGGAAGAUAUACCAUUUCUCCUUCAGACUUAUACAAAACUCAUGCAAACCUAUCAGUUAGAGACAGGUGGCAUACUGCCCUACUCUUCCACAUCUCUCUCGAUUUUCGAUCGUCGGGUUGAAUGAACUAAAGGAGAUCAAUGGCUAAAAAUCAACAAGUUUGUGUGGAAAAUGAAAAUAGGUGUGUAAAUUGCAAUCUCUUAAGUGGCCCUUUAUUAUAGUGGUAAAAAUGUGUUGUGCCAUUGUAUGACGGCGUGGGUUCAAAUCCCGUCAAUGGCGAAUUUGAUUAUCACCAAAGGUGAAUUUGAACCAUAUUAUUGCUAAAUCAUUGUGAGGUUUAGCUCACUCCCUCAGUCUUUCAUCCUUUAGUGUAGAUAAUAUCGUUUGUUAAAAAAAUAGCAAUCUCCUUUCUUUUACUCUUUUUUCCUCAAACUCAUAUGUUUUAUCUUAUUCAAUUAAAUAUUUGUAGGACUCCAUCUUCAAAACAAAUCACUCAAAAAAAACUAGGGUCCAUACAACAAAAUGUUUAAAAAAUAAAAUGACAUCAAUUUUUCUCAUAUGUCAAAAUUGGUAGACUUGGCAGCACACAGUAUGUAUGCCAAUCCACGUAGGAUUGACAUAUCAAUUAUAGCUUUUAUUUAAGGUCAGCACUACCGAAUUUUCUCAAGAUUAAAAGCCUCACACUAAAAAUGAGAAGAAUUCUCAACAUUGAGAGAAAGACACUCACUCGGAGAGAAAAUUCAUAUGUUUAACUUCUUUGGAAAUAUAUUUUAAGAGUGAAAACUGAAAUCUGCUCAAAUAAAAAACCGAGGUUAAAGUUUUUUUUUCUAGGAGUAAAUUAUGAAGAAAAUGGGAUGAACAAGUGUCCGAAGUGUUUGGAGCACAAAAUGUUGCUUCCACCUUCAUCACCCGAUACCAUUUAGCAAAUUUCGUGGCAGAAACACAGUGCAAAAUAAUACUGAGGAAAAUUACCAACACAUUUUCAUUCAGUUCAAAUGGGCAGGUCCCUGAUUUUCUCCCCAAACCUUCCUCUCAGAAUUUCUCAAAUACCAAGAUCAAAUUUACCGCCCAAUCGACCAGAUUACUCACUUUUACUGAAUUCAAAGCAAAAAUUGCAACAUGGGCUUCAAAGAUUUGGACUUUCGAUUGCCAAACCGACGAGAAGUCUCUGCACAAAGGCUGUGUUCUCUGAAAUUCCAAACCCGGAGCUGUAUGUGAAAGUUGGGGCCAAAUCAACUGGACCAAUUCCAAUUGGUCAGCUCGUUGGAGUGGUAGAGAAGGCCGCUAAGACUGGCGCUGAGGUUGCUCUUUAGCUCUGUUUUUGUAAUUCUUUGAAUGUGCCAGCAUUGUGUAAAUUCUGUAAUUUGAAUAAGAACCCAGAUGGAAUUUGCAUUUGUUUCUUGGGGGAUUGCUUGAAUUUUAUUGUUUUUAAUCCUGUUCAGUAUGUUAAUUUGAUUUUGGAAGCAUUGUUGGCUUUUGAUCAUGCCUUUGUUUGCUCUGAGAGUGUCUUAUUCUACUCCGGUAACGUCUUUUUCCCGUUAAAUAUAUGUUUAGGGAAUAAAAGUUGUUAAAUUUCAUCCUAAUAGGAGUUAGCAACUAAUAGUCAAAAUAUUUUUACAAAAAAGAGGUACUAAAGGAGAAAAACAUUGCCGGUGUAAUAUAUGAUGACAUUGUUUUGUUGCUAGAGAGUAUGUUGAUUCAACGCCUUAGGUGUAGUACUUGCCGUUUUGUCCAUUACUGAAUCAUCAUGAAUUCCUUAUAGCUUAUGUUAUUUGCGUCACUUUUCAGGUUGUGAUGGAUGCUGUUAAUAAGCCUCGGGAUAUCACCUAUAAAGGACUAACAGACUUGGUCACUAAGUAAGAACUGAAUUGACAUGCUUUCACUAGUUUUGUAUGUUUUGAUGCUUCAAUUGACUUGUAGUGAUAACACUUUCUAGAAUAGACUAGAGUAGAGGUUGAAACUUACAUGUAAAGGUUGAACCUUUUACAAGCAAGAUACACUAAUCAUGAAGGAACUUCUAAGUAUCACCUUAUUCUUGGAGAGGAGGUGGAAUAACUGGAGAUGCAUCAUCUGAUUAUAUGUGGUGCAUUGAUCAUUUAGGUUAGUAUCUUCUAAGGGGCAGUAUAGGUAUGCUUGUGCAUAUUGGGUUUUUCAAGACCACCAAGUAUGAUAUGGUUCAUGAUAGUGGUGUGUUUCAGAACAUGAUUUACUGUAAAUCAGUUACCAGGUUGUUUCAGCCAUCGUAAUUCUUGCCUCAAUACUUUUGACUCAUACUUUUUCAUAACAAAUUGUUGCAGUGUAAAUAUUAUGAUUUUGUAUAUAGACGGCAGUUCAUAUACUUAAUACAUACAUGAAUGUUUAGAGAUGAACUUUCUAAUGACAGAUAUGAAAUUGGAAAGAGCUAUUAGGGUGGUAGCUGGAUUGUCGUUUUAUAUCCAGAUACCUUUAAUAAGAAUAGCCUGAAAAUUCUUAGUUUUGUCUUAUCUAACCUCUGAUAUCUUCGUAGAUGGAACAACAAAUUUUGCACAUGGUUAUUCUAGCUUUGCAGUUUCUGUUGGAGUUUUAUUUCGAGGAAGACCUGUUGCUGCUGCAGUGGUACUGAUCACAUAUAGUAGAUUUUAUUUGACAUGUUGCUUGCAUGAUUGCAUGAUAUGUUAAGAUGUCUAUUUGAUUUUCUAGUACUUCCCUUCUCAUGUGGGCCUCAUUAUUAGAGUCAAGAGUGUCUUCAACUUAUAUUGCAAGGUUGCGAUGUGAUGAUUUGAGCUCAGGAUCUCUUACUCUGUUACCAUGAUAAAUAUUAUUUAUUUACCAUUGUUUUCAAAAGCUCGAACUGUUAGGAUGUGGACCAAAAAUCAUCUAUUACUAUAACGUCUAUGACUGACAUAGUGGAAAUUAACAUGUUGGUUUUCUGUUUAUAUUUUCAGAUAGAGUUCGUUGGGGGCCCUGUGUUGGAAUACCCGCAUUUUUUCUGCUAGUGCUUGUAUGGAAGUUCUUCCUAAAUAGUUGCCUUAGUCUUAAUUGAUUUUGUAAUUGUACUAAUGAUGUUGAGCUCAAUCGAUAAUCUGUGUUAUGAUAGGAGGGGGAGCAUUUUGUAAUGGCCAAAGAAUUCACGUGAGCCAAACUGAUGAGCUUAAUAUUCCUUUUAUUAGAAGAAAAAGAAUUUUGAAAUCUAUAACUAUGUCGAAUCGUGUUACUUUAGGUCGAUGACUAAGUCUGAUCUUAUUUGAUGUUAGAAUAUUUGCAGUGGUAUAUUGAUUAACACUUACUGCUAUUCCUUUGUACUAGAAUGCAAUAAAUAAAGGUACAAAACCAUAACAUACCUUAGGCUGUGAUUAUCUUUACCCAAUUUUCUUCAGAAAUUCCAACCACCACCAGAAUGUUAGGCAUAAAGGUAGUAAGUUAGAAACUAGAAAAGGUAUUAGAGAGAAAGAUGAGCUAUCUCAUGUGUAUCGCUUACUGUAUAAAGGAGAAACCAUUUUAUAUUUUAUUUAGGCUCAUACUCUUCCAUAUUUGAGGUGGGACGAUCUCUUCUUGUUACUGGAUUUGGUUAUGAACAAGAUGAUGUGUGGAUCACCAACAUAGAGUUAUUUAAAGAGUUCACCUACAUCAGAAGGGUAAUAGCCUUUCGUUUUAGUGCUAAGCAAUUUUUAUUUGAGCUUUAGCUUUGGGAUUAAUUAACUUCCUAUUCCCUCUCUCUCUUCAUGUUUGUGACUUGAACUCUUUUUUCCCCAUGGUAUUUUCCCUACAUCGUAAUGUUUAGGGUGUAAGCAGGCUCAGUGCAGCUGCGGUAGACAUGUGCCAUGUAGCUCUUUGGAUUGUAGAAGCCCACUGGGAAUAUCGACUAAAGCCAUGGGAUACAGCAGCUGGUGUUUUGGUAAUGUUUUGUCUUCUCAUAAAUGCAUUUGUUUGGUGUUUGUGGAAUAGUAAUAUUUGGAAGUCUAUUGUUAUAACACUCAAUUGAAUACGUUCUUGUUUUGGGUUUGUGGAAACAUAAUACAUCGGCAGAGAUUUUUGUUUUAUAUCUCUCAAUUUUUUUUUUUUUCCUAAAGCAAUUUGGUCUGAUUUUUUAUUUGCAUUAUAUGACAUAUUGUUCAGGUUUUUCUUUUCGAUUUUGUUUUUACUUUGUUACGAGACCCUAAAUAAUCAUUGAUACUUUCUUAUACAUGGGUUAGUUCUUUUUAUUUUUCCUAGUUGAAUACCUGGAAAGAGUUGUGAUAACUCAAAAGUAUACAUCGGAAAUCGAGCACAUAACAAAAUAAUGCAUCAAUUGACAGUUUGGUUUCAGUAUGAACAAUUUACACGGGAAGAAUAUACAAAUAAUAGACUUUCUGUCAUUAGAAAUAUCCUUUACGUUUUUAUGGCAAGUGUUUGGAAGUGUUGCUUCGGACAACCUCUUGUGACAAGAUGCUUGAACUGAUGCAUGAAAAUUAUAGUUCACUUUUCUCUCUGCAGAAUCGUGGCAUCCAGAAGUGUGAUUUAAAGAAUUCAUAGAAUUUGGUAUGGCAAUUCAUAGAACUUGGGAGCAGCCUCUCCAUAAAAUGGGGGUAAGGCUAGCCGACAUUCACCUCUCCCAGACCCUGCGUAAAGCGGGAGCCUUGUGCACUGGGUACGACCUUUUUUAGUUGAAGAGGCUGGAGUAAAGGUUACAUGCAUGGAUGGCGGAAAAUUCUCUGUAUUUGAAAGAUCUAUCUUGGUAUCGAACUGUGUGCUGCAUGGCAAGGUUAGUCUUCUGCUUUAUCCAGAAUCUAAUUACAAAACCUUACGUGUUAAGAUCGAACUACGGUUAUAGAAUGCAAGAUCUUAACUCUUCAUUGCCUUUCUGUUACUACCACUAAUCUUGUUCACUAGUUAUAUAACCAUUUACGAAGAGUCAAAGGUCAAUUCAGUUUCCCUAACUUGAUGUAUGUUUCUACCGAUGAAGUGGCAAGCUUUCCUUUACCUUUCCAUAUUUUUCCUCAAAUUUUUGUGUUAGGUUAGGUCGGGGGGUGGGUGGGAGGUGAGUAGAGCAGAUGUUUACUGUAAGUCCGUAACAGAGCUUUUAGUAGUGCUAUAGUUUCCUGUAAAAGACGCAGUAGAUUGUAAUCAUAUUAAAUGCACUAGUGGUUUUAAAGAAAUAAUUCUAGAAUUUAAUUUUUGUAAAAUGCAGCUCUUAGAGAAGGUUGCACCUGCAACAGAGAAAUUGAAGAGCAAAGGAAUUAAUUUCUCAUCAUGGUAGUGGUACAAGCCCGAAGAUUACACAAGAGACAUUUGAUGCGCCUGAAAGUUCAUUUUUUCUUUGUUUUUGCCAAUGGUGCUGAGAAGAUAUCUUCCACAGGAAGGUGGUCUCUCAUUGUUUCAUUGGUGACUUUCGCUGUAACGUGCAUUUCAAGCGCGUGAUAUAUAUGUUAUAUCUCAACAUGUCUUCCUUUACUGAUAUGAAUAUUGCUUUAGGGGUUUUAGUACAGCAUAGCAUGUUUUCCUAUGUUGCUUUAGGCAAGUGGAAUAGGUGUGAAUUGCUGUAAUUCAGAAAUAAUCGUCGAUAAUGAUCAUGGAUCGAUCUUUAUCGUCAAGAAAUUGGUCCUAUGUGGAAUCACUACUCUUUCUUUACCGAAGCAGAAAGAAAAAUGUGAAUUUGGGCAGUAGUUAAAAGCGUAUCAUCCUUCCAUUAUUAUUCUGUUCCCAUCAUUUCUUACAUACGCACUUGUCUUAUUUCUGCUUUAAAAAAAUGAAAAUCAGAACGUUAUUUCUCUGCUCGUAAGGGAAGUUGCUGGGUACUCUGCAACUUAUUUAGGAGUAAUGUCGACACCCUUGAUAACAAGCCCUUUCUUCCAUUUCCCAACAGUUUGACGGAGCAUAAAAUACAUCCGGCCAGAUUGCCCAGGCGAUGUUGUAAAUUCGGCAACUCGGACAUAACUCCACCAUCUUCCUUUUGUCCUCAGAUCAAGUGUAGAGUUUCUCGGGACAAUCUGCAGGUUCUGAGGGGGAGUGACGCUGAAUUCGACUUUAUCUUCCCAUCCAUAUUUUGGGUCCUUCAUCAUGAUUAUAUAUGAAACUUCAUACACAGUUCCGGGUGUCAGGUAUGCGGUCUCAAAAUCCCCUUUCACUUCUAGCGAUAAUACAUCUAACAGUUCAGCAGCAUCAACGUAGACAGAACUGCAAUUAAACCCUAAGUUAGGACCGAUUACUAUAUAGCAGUAACCAAUAUCAAUUGUGAUAUACGGAUUCAAGUUUUCGGUACCUGGCUGCGUACACGGGGUUCCAGCGCCAGUAACGAUCGUCUUCACCGAAAGUGAUUGUGAGAGCUCUUGCAUACAGCACAAAACAGUUGUUGCCCUCCCUAUCAACCCAAUACCUUUUCUAAUAAUAGUCAAGAAAAUAAUGGGAUAAACAUGAUUGUUGAUAUUUCAAGCUGUAGUAAGAGUUCAUCUUUUAAUAUAUUUAAAAGACAAUGAUUUCCGCACACCCGUUUUCUUCUGUUGCACACCCUGUUUAUUUCUGCCCUUUAAUUGAUUCUCCUUUUGUUUAUACAAAUAUUCAAAUGCAAUAAACAAACACGUGUGUCCAGACGGAGAAAAUGAGUGUGCUGAACUUCAGUAAGAAUUAGAACAAUUUCACAUUUCUGAAGCAUGUUUGAUAAUUUCACACGAAAACUGAAAAACAAAGAGCCGGAAAUUCUUUUUAAAAUUGUCAGAAAGUUAAAUGCAUGGAUUUCACCUUUUUCGGUUGGUCGAAAAUUCCUGGAUAUUUGACCUUCGAAGGGACUUUUGCAGGUGAGGACGAGUCGUUACUUGCCAAAAUCUUUCAGAAUGUCUUCAUACUUAUGUGGGAAUGACCGCUUUUCCUCUUGCGCUUUAGCAUCAGUAGCCAUCCUUCGUGCAGUUAUUCAAUCAUGUUUUAACUAUAUAUACAUAGGAAGACAGGGCUAAGCCAGUCAUUUCCACAAGUCCCCGCAACUUGCGGAUGAGGAUAAGAAAGAUGCCUUGCGUUGCUAACCUUUAAUUCUUUAAAAUGUAGAUAUCAAGCAUGAAUUCUUUUUAUUUUACUUUGGAAUCUCUUCCAUGUGGGAAAGCACAAUAUUGGAAAGCACUUUCGAAAAAACCUUUUAUUCCAUAUGCUAAAGCUUUUGUUUGUUGAUCAUAUAUAUUUCAUUAUGCAAAUAGAAUUCAUUUUCAUAAAAUGCAGAAGAAAGAUGACUUGCGUUGCGAACCUUUUAUUCUAUGAAAUAUAUAUAUGCCUUUUCUUCCAUAUGCUAAAGCUUUUGUUUGUUGAUCGAAUAUAUUUCAUUAUGCAGAAGAAUAGCAUUCAUUCUCAGAUAAUGCAGAAGAAAGAUGCCUUGCGUUGCGAACCUUUUAUUCUAUAAAAUGUAGAUAUCAAGCAUGAAUUCCUUUUAUUUUACUUUGGAAUUUCGACCAUGUGGGAAAGCAUUAGAUUGGAAAGCACUUUCGAAAAAGCCUUUUAUUCCAUAUGCUAAAGCUUUUGUUUGUCGAUCAUAUAUACUCCAUUAUGCAAAAGAAUAGCAUUCAUUCUCAGAUAAUGCAUCAUACCCAAGGUCUAAAAUAUCGAUAUUAUCAGUGAUAUUUCGCCGAUAAUAUCGUUUUUGUGAGAGAGCGAUAUUUUAACACGUAUCCACUUAAUUAUCGCUAAAAUAUCGUGAUAAUAUCGCUCUAACAGAAGAACAGAGAAGAACGCCAGAGCUUCUACAGCUCCGGCCGACUGCAAACUACCACCCUAGACCCCGAUCUAGGUACCAAACGAAAGCACAAGGCGAGAGGAUUGCGUUUAUACCUUCUGUUUGCCGUGAAAUGACCUGUGGUGGUCGAAAAACCUCUCGACACCCACGGCCUCGCCGGAGAUGGGUGUGCCUAUUCCCGAGCCGAUUUCGUCCCAAAAACCUUGGAAAAACACAAGAUAGAACUUAAAAUUUACAUCUAAGCUUCAAUCUAGUACAGAAAGAGGUAAACCCGAAGCUUACCUAACCGGAGAAAUUCAAGAAACUCGUCGGAGGGUUCCUGCGUUCGCCGAGUUGCAGAGACGAGAAUAAGAGGGAGAAAGACGAGGUUGCUGAUGACGAUGGGUGUUUUCCUCGAGCAGGUGCGAUGGUGUGCGUAUGUGUAUGUGGGUCUCGGUGCAGAGAGAAAUGAGAGAGAUGAGAGUUUUGAGAGAGAAAGAGAGAGAGAAAUAAUGCAGAAAAGAAAGAAGAAGAAAAAAGGGGUUGCGGGGUCGAGGACAGAAAGAGAAGAAUAAGGAUUGUUGCUCGCUUCCCCGCGAGCUUCCUUUGCUUCGUGGAGCCGGUUGGUUCGGUGGUCCCUAGAGGAUGAUGAGGCUUUCUUUUUCAUCACUUUUUGGGUUCUUGCAGGUAUGACCUUUUGCGAUGGCGGUAGGCCUUGGAUAUGUGCAGGAGGAGUUGCAAUGGCAGUGGUGCUGAGGUUCAUCGCUGUUGACUUUUCUGGCGGUGGCUGCUGUAGGCGAAUGAGGAGUAGGGUUUUCUGUAUUCUGUUUUUAUGUGGGCUGGGCUCCAAAGCUGGCUUUGAACCUUGUCCUUAGUGUUGUGUGGGCCUGCUUUUUGUUUUAAUAUUGUAUCUUGGCCCUUGUUUGUACUUACUUUUAGUUGGUAAUGAAUGUUUACCAGUUGUCCAAAAAAAAGGAUUGUUGGGGUGCUGCCACGUGGCAGUUUGAGAGAAAAGAGAAUCUUAAAUGUAGAUCUGGAUUGGGUAAUGGAAAUUAGGACUAAAUUGAUAGAUUCCAUAAAUAUUUGGGGAAAUAUGGGCAGUUUGAGAGAGAAAAGAAUCUUAAGUUUAUGACUAACUAUGCGCAUGGGUUAACUAUCAUUUAACCCCUAAACUAUUGCUGAUAACUAAUUCAUUAUAUAUAAAUGAUUAUGGUGUGUCUAAACUUCUUUCAUUAAUUACUACAUAUUUUCUACACUCACAAUGUUUGUCAGCUCGCUAUAUAAUCAACUUAAAUCAGUUAAAUCCAUCAUGCAAUGCAUUUCCUUCCAAUUUUAUGUGAUAAACUAAUAGAUAAUUGACUAAAUAAACAUCCGGCAAAGUUUCAAUAAAAAUUUCCAAGUUUUUCUUACAAUUUCCGUGGUUUUUAUUCAAUUUUUAUCGAUAUCGAUAAUAUCCCGAUAUUUCCAUCGAAAUUUUCGUGUUUUUGGACUACCGAUAUUUCCGAUAUCAUCGAUAUUUUAUACAUUGAUCAUACCCUAUAUAUUAUUCUCAGCUUAUAAAGUAAUAUUUGAAUUUGCAAGUGAUUACUAUAAGUCUGCAACAGAGCUCUGAAUAGUGCUACAUCAGUAAAUAGUUGUAUUAGUAAACUACAACAAGUACAAGUUAGUUAGAAAUUAUUCCAUCCCAAUUUUGUAGCACAUCAAAAAGUAAAGUUUAUUUCACAACCCAUAGGCCCCAACAUGAAACACAAAUCCUAAUUUAAAUUCUAUGUAUUAAUUCAUCUUACAAACAACCCAUUUAUUCCAUAAAUAAUUGAUAUAGAAACUUCGAACUAAACACCCUACCUUACUAUGCAUGUCGAAGCUUCAAUCACCACAAAAAAUGGAACUUUCCAGCCAAAACAUAAAAUAUGGUACAAAACCCAGCUCACUCUCACGUCUCUCACAUUCCUUUGUUCUAAAUCAGCGGUAUGAGGUCAACCCAAAAUCUAGCUCACUCUUCUCACCUCUCUUUGGACUUCCCUAUCUUCGAAAUUUGAGCUCAACCCAAAAAUCCAUAGCUCUCUCAACAUCCCUUUCUCCCAAAUGAGAAAAGUGAUGCAAUAAACUGAUGAUUUUUAGUAUUUAUAAGUGCGUAUUUUAGUAAUUUCAGUUUUGUGUAUGGUGGCAUAGCCGGUUUGUCAUAUUUCUAUCCCAAGAUUAAGAAAAAGGCCUAUUCUUUUCCAUUUCAAUAAUCAAAUUGAGACAGAAGAUGAAGAGAGAAGGUUGGUGGAAAUCUCAAAUCAUUGCCAUAACUUUCAAUUCCAAAUUCAAAGGGUGGAGGAGGAGCCGAAGGAGAAGAAUGGUAGUGGAAUCUCUGGGAUGGCCAAUCCAGUCUUCAUUUUUUCCAUUGUUGCAAUUGACAGUCCUUCGAUUAGAUCCAGUCCAUGGGGAGGACUUGACGGACAAUGCGCAACGAGCGAGAGAUUGUUGGAAAAAAACGAAGAACCCGACUAAUAACACCGAAGUCGUGGAGAAGAUAAAUAAGUGGGCAUGUGUCGUAUAAUACAUCCGUUAGAUUUUCCAUCUAUUGGUCUGUUAAAUGCUGACGUGUCUGCCACAUUUGUGUUGCUGUGACUGCCACGUAGCAAAAAAAAAAAAUUUAUACAUUAAAAAUAUUAUAAUAUUAACCCUAUUAAAAAAAAAAAAACUUAGAAAACCCAUAUCCCAUCACCCCCCUCCACCCCGAAACCCCACCCCUUCAUCUCUUCCCCAUCCGUCGUCCUUCCCUGCAACCCAAAUCCAAAACCACUCCCACCCAUCCUCCACAUCCUCCUCGGCGCACCCAUCUUCCCAUCCCCUCAUCCCCCCUACCCGAGCCCAACCUGCAACCCAAAAAAAAUAAAAAAAAUAAAACCAUCUUUAUCUUCCCCGAACCCCUUUCCCUGCAACCCUUCUCCCUCCCGUCUUCCUCAAACCCAUCGUGCACCCAUUCUCCACCUCCUCCUCAGCACCCACUAUCUGCAACCCAGAAAAGAAAAGAAGAAAAAAAAAACCCAUAUCAUUUUCCCUGCAACCCAGAUCCCGUCUUCCCCAAUGGGUGUGGAUUUAAGGACUGGGGUGUGUAGAGGAGGGAAGAGGGUGGGUGCCGAGGGUGGGUGAGCAGGUGCGGGUGUGAAGGGGGGGUUAGGGCGAGGUGGGUCCCGGGGGGGGUUUGCUGGGUUUCUGGUUUUGGGGGUUGUGGGGAUGUGUUUAAUCAGCUUUAGAUUUUGGUUUUUUUUUUCUUUUUUUUUUUAAUUUUAUUUAUUUAUUUAGAAGAUUCAAGUUUUUUUUCUUUUUUUUGCUUGGUUAAUUCGCAUUAGGGGACUAUACACAUUAUAGGGGUGACUCUGCUUGGUUAAUCUGCAGUAGGGGUCAUUGCCUGUUUAAUGGAUGCCGUCUGGUUAAUCCGCAUUGGGGAACCAUACGUAUCUUAGAGUGGGAUUUCGUUGAGUGGUCCGAAUACCCUGCUUCGCCUCGAUUCCGUAGUGGUCCAGAAUCAAAUUCUAUUCCAGAUUCCAUUGAGUUGAUUCAGAGCUAAAUUCCUAGAUUUGUGUCGCUCUAGCUCGAGAUUUUCAGUUGGUUUAUUUAUAAUUUUACAAACCCUAGUUUUAUAAUGAUAUGAAUAAAUUUGGUUGGUGGAUAUUGGUAAUUGUGGUUUCUUCUUGGAAAGACAAAAUUAAAUUAAAAAGUGAACUACGAAUGACUUGAUCUCGUCUAUGGGUACGUAGGCAGUCUAACACAAAGGCUAGAUGUAGCCAUGAAAUAAAAGGAAAAGUUACUAAGUUGUUGAACCAUUUAUUUGCGUUUUCGGUCAUGUCUCAGAGGUGAGGCAUGAUAGAUGUACCAGUACUAGUGACGUCACGUGUCGAUCCUAGAAUUAUAUCGAGAUUGGGACGUGACAAUUAGUACUAUUCGGUUCCUUAUAUGAAUUGCCAAAUGAGGAACACGGAUCCCCUUCAGAUCCAUUAUGUUGGGAGGGAUCCCUACAUCUCAGCCGUACAUAGUGAAUCGUGCAGUCAGAAAUCAUUUUACUUUUAUUAUUUUAAAUUAAACAUAAAUAGUACCUGACAAAAACUAAUCACACGAUUUAUGAUGAAUGGUUGAGAUUCCGUGUUACCAAAUGAGGUCCGUAUGUACGUAAUUAGCUGCUUGACCGUUUUCCUCGGUGUCAGGUGGCAAUAAUUGUCAGUUAAAAAAAAAGUCUGUCUCCGCCCGCGCUUUUGCCUAGCUAAGAAAAACAAGUUUGUCUAGUUACGGAGAAACCCAAGAUAAAUGGAGAAAUCGAAGAUUGGGAUGAGGUUCCAAGGCAAGGUGGCGAUUGUGACGACUUCCACUCAGGGCAUCGGCUUCGGUAUCGCCGAGUGCCUAGGUUUGGAAGGCGCCUCCGUCGUCAUCUCCUCCCGCAAGCAGGUCAGUCUAGGGCUGGGCACGGGCCGGGCCGAGCCGGGCCGGACCUAAUUUUCAAGGAACCGGAGGUUAAAAGAAACGGGCCGGGCCGAGUCGGGUACAUCAUAUUUCAUUACAGGAAUCGGACCGAACCCGGCCCGUUUCAAACGGGCCGGUCCUUGGUUUUUUUUUUUUUUUUUUUUUUUUUUUGCGAAACCCUUACGGAAAGGACUCCAGAACCACCGCCAUGCUGCCUUCGUCGUCGCACCACAGCUUCUCCACCGAGCCCCGCGCCGACACCGCCACGUUUCUCACCAUGGCCAACAUCCUCACAAGCAACACCUCCAUGCUUACUCUGAGUCGUAGUAUAUGUACCCUUUACCUGGUAAUCCUUCUGAACACUUGUUCGUGAGACAUGAGCCAACUGCCUCCAUCACUGCCCGAUAAGUAAAAUUUUCCUCACUUAACCCAUUGUCUACAAAACUGCUUCCAUUACCUGUAAAUCAAAUAAUACAAUUAAUGAACAAGUCAGACAUAAUUCCUGCUACUAACCAAUGAUUCCUUUCAUACUACAUCCGAAGUUGGGAAUAACAUAUGGUUUUAUUAAAGAUUUUAUUAAAGAUGUCUAUUCAUAAGGAUGAUUUUGUCAUAGAACUAAGCAAUGAAAUUCUGUAGUUAAAACAAGUACGCAGAGCAUCGAAUCCAAGCAAUAUAAUGAAAUUCUGUAGUUGUUUCGAUUUUUAUAUUUCUUAAGAGAAACUGAAAUCAAAAUUAAUAUUAAAACACCAUAAAAUUUAAAAAAACCAGAACCAUUCCUGCCAUAGAAUUCUCAGAACAUAAAUUUACAUGCAAUCUAAUACAAUUUACAAAUGGAAACAUAAAUAACUAGAAGUUACUGAUAUCAGUUCAAAGGUUGGAGUAUAAUUACCGCCAAUUUCAGGGAUAGGCACAGAGACAGAAGAGGACGGCCUUCCAGCAACCAAACUUCCUUCAAUGUAAGAAGAAGACCCUAACGGGCUUCACACAAUGAGAUUCGCCCAUGCCCACCCAUAGUACAAAAUUAUUGGUUGAUUUGGAACUCAGAAAAGUGAGAUCGAGAAUUGAGAGGGAGAAGAUCGAGAAUCGACAGAUUCGAAAGGGAGGACUAAGGAGAGGAGAGUCUUUGUGGCGAUGAGAUCGUCUUCGUGUCGUCGUUGUCUAGGGGGAGAAUAGUGUGGGUGGGAGGAAGGAAGUCUCAAGUCGAGGACUUGAGUGGGAAUCAGUGGACUUGAAGGCGGCGGAUGGACGAAGAAGAAAGGGGACGAAGGAUGACGAGGAAGAAGGGGGACGGAUGAGGGAGUGAAUCAUGGAUAAUGGAUUAGGGUUAGAGACCAUAGUUAGAAACGGGCCAUCCGGGGCCCUGUUUUUCUAUACCCCUAAACCCGGCCCGCCCCUAAAAUUUCAAAACCCCGGCCCGCCCCUCCCCGUUUCACUUAUGAAAAAAUUGGAACCGGCCCGUACCCGUCCCGAACCUUGAUUACCCGCCCCUACCCGCGGUUCCUGUACCCGUUUGCCCAC
This 21807-nucleotide long non-coding RNA is filed under the name Malus domestica (apple). RNAcentral's name for it is "long non-coding RNA (MDOM_LNC005425)". The record is from RNAcentral. Lineage: Eukaryota; Viridiplantae; Streptophyta; Magnoliopsida; Rosales; Rosaceae.